This 465-nucleotide ribosomal RNA is filed under the name Vreelandella stevensii. RNAcentral describes it as "partial 16S ribosomal RNA". It matches the Rfam family "Bacterial small subunit ribosomal RNA", at positions 338 to 795 of the family's 1533-position model. Lineage: Bacteria; Pseudomonadati; Pseudomonadota; Gammaproteobacteria; Oceanospirillales; Halomonadaceae. The record is from RNAcentral.
CCUACGGGAGGCAGCAGUGGGGAAUAUUGGACAAUGGGCGAAAGCCUGAUCCAGCCAUGCCGCGUGUGUGAAGAAGGCCUUCGGGUUGUAAAGCACUUUCAGUGGGGAAGAAAGCCUUGGGGCUAAUACCCUCGAGGAAGGACAUCACCCACAGAAGAAGCACCGGCUAACUCCGUGCCAGCAGCCGCGGUAAUACGGAGGGUGCGGGCGUUAAUCGGAAUUACUGGGCGUAAAGCGCGCGUAGGCGGUCUGAUAAGCCGGUUGUGAAAGCCCCGGGCUCAACCUGGGAACGGCAUCCGGAACUGUCAGGCUAGAGUGCAGGAGAGGAAGGUAGAAUUCCCGGUGUAGCGGUGAAAUGCGUAGAGAUCGGGAGGAAUACCAGUGGCGAAGGCGGCCUUCUGGACUGACACUGACGCUGAGGUGCGAAAGCGUGGGUAGCAAACAGGAUUAGAUACCCUAGUAGUC